Lineus longissimus is the source of this 1686-nucleotide long non-coding RNA. RefSeq lists it as uncharacterized. NCBI's taxonomy places the organism in Eukaryota, Metazoa, Nemertea, Pilidiophora, Heteronemertea, Lineidae. The transcript has 3 exons. The record is from RefSeq and is a predicted model, not a curated record.
UCAUUUGAAGUUUAAAUAAUAUGUUAUUAGUUAUCUUAUGACUUUGUCGGCCAUUAUUUAAAACGAAUCCCACAUUGUAGCAACGCCUUUUCGAUGAGCUAUACGGAUCUUUCUCUGAGGUCUGUUUCUGAGGCACAUGUCUAUUAGUUAGUUUUUAGAAGAACUUCUCCAUUUUUAGCUCAGCUGACUAAGUCAGCCGAGCUUCACAGCUGUUUCAGCUAAGCCUAAACAUGACAUCGAAAUAAACCAUUCUGCCUACUAGCCUGCUGCCCAACGAUUGGUCCAUGCGAAAAGCCUGUUAACCGCUGUGUAAACAUUGUCGCCAAUACACAUCUCACACAUUAUCGCAAUACCCAUUCAGCCAAAGGGUUAAUGCAUUGGCAUCGUUCAAACAUCAGCGCGCUUCUGUACACGUGCUCGAAUUAGAUACGACGGUUUUCAUUGGCUCAUAAGUUGUGUCACAUGACCAUUCACCCGGCUUGAAAAUUUCAUGAAAUUUGGACCAAAAUUAACGAAACAGUGGCGAUUUCCAUGUUUUUUAUCGAUUUUUCGACAAGUUACAGAUUUCGGAAUUCUUUAAGACUAGAUAGCCGGGUAGGCAUAAUAUCAUAUAUCAUAAAUACCCCGGCUGUUUUGCAUAACUCAUUUCAGUUUCGUACAGAAUCGUGCGUUUAUUCUGAAAUUUCUCAAACUUUGAUCUGUAAUGGCCGACUUGCAGACGGAGAUUGAGAUGGGGUGCCAAGUUCAUCGUACAGCAUCGAAUUCCCUUGAUCGUUAUUUAUCAAAACGAGGUACUUCCAGUAUUCAUUUAAAUCUUUACUUUUAAAAUAUAUAUCUAUUUUAUGUUAGUUUGCUGUCUAUUCAUGCAGAAAAUGCAUUUGAAAAACAAAUGUCUAAAAAUAGUUGAGUUUUGAAGUUCGAUGGUCGGGUCUAUUUUGGUGAAAGGGGUACAGCAUGGGUAAUAGUACAAUAAUAAGUCAUGAUCGUGCUUAUGAACAAGCCAUGAGUUAGCAUAUACCAUAGUUUAUGUUGAAAAUAUCUUUACAGAUGUAAUUGAUAAAUAUAGUCUUAAAAAUUCGCCAAAUAUAGAAAAGUUCUUGGUAUAUUAUCCACCUGUUAGCAAAAUGAACUCAUGAGGCUACAUGUAUAUAGGCCCAGUACGUCGACAUCAUUGAUCCGGCAGUGAACAAGAUAAGUGGUUCAGCCUCCAAGAUGUGUCACCAGAAAUGCAACCGACAUUAUAGACAGGCGUGAUUACUACUCUGAUUUUGGACUGAUGGUAUACUCGUCUUCAAAAUGGACCUGACUAGGAAUGAUGAUGGUGACUUCCCUCCUCAGAAAAAAGCUCGGUAAGAUUCGAAAGUUGGUGCAGGCGGUCAUUAGCGAUAUUUCGGUCGUAAACGCAAGAAGUCCAAGAAAACCACUGACAAAUCAGGAAAACGUAUAUUCAAUGUCGGCGACACGUGUUUGUUCAGAUUGGACUCAAACGUUUAUCUUGGAACCGUUCUUAGUCAAGUUGAUGAACAUCAUUUCCAAAUUGAGGACUAUACAGGAACAGUGCACACCUUCAUUUGUCUGUCACUUUGAUUAAAAGAAAGUUAAAGUUGAAACUUCUAUAGCAAGGAAUAUGAAGAUGUGAACUUUGUAUUAUUAUUUUUUGAAUGUAUGAGUCUAUUGAAUGUAAAU